UGGCUUUAUUAAGCCUGGUCCAAUAUCUAUGUCAAUAUUGUACAAAACGCUGCGUUUCUUUUUUGUUUCAACAAUCUCUUUUCUCCGCCGUACCUAUUCUAGGUUUUUUCUCGAUUUGUUCAUCUUCUUCCAUACAAUCCAGAGAUCAAUCGGUUACGGAUUCAAUCCUCUUAAAUACCUUCUUAAAUCUAUCUUCAAUGACGCCUUUUCUCUUCGAAGGCUGUGGAUGUUCGAGUAUAAAAAGUUAAGCAUCUCUACACUUCUGUCAGGAGUUCGUUUUUCCAUGGAUGAGGUCAGGCUGUUGCGUUUCUGGGAGGCGAGGUGAUGAGCUCAUGUCCGUCGAUAUGCUUUUGCUUGAUACAAAUAUAUCAUUGGGGAGAUCACGGCUGUUAAGAGUUCUGUCAGUGACCCUCCGGCAGACAAUAAUCACUUGAUGGCGACCAUCAAACUGGAAAAGUAAGUAAUUAAUAAUUUUUUUGAGCCUCUUUAAAUGAAACAUAUCUCAUGCACCCUCUUUACUGCAACUACCGUACCAAUCACAUUCGUAUCAGUUAUGUAUUGAUGUGUGCGUGACUUUGAGUUUGUUUGACUCCCAUGCUGUUUCGUUUCACCGCAAGCUGGAAUCCAUGCGAGGUGAACCAAGAGUUGUUGUUGCGACGAGCUUAAUCCUAAAAUAGUUUGAGGCCGUUUGUUCCUUAAUGCAACCUCAGGAACACACAUUUAUUUCGAUAAAGAUACUAUUGUAGGAGAGGUCCCUCUUUUACAAGUUGGUCUCCACAGACACUGUGCUGCAGUCAGCAGCUCCACUUCUGAAAGCAUCUGCCAAGGUUGAGAAUCUGACAAUAUCCGAGCUUAAUGAGUUUGUCAUAACUGCUCCAUCUCAAGACAUUGACUUCAUGUGUUCUAGGAAAGUUACUGGCAUCAGGAUGGACAAAGGGUGGUGUUAUGUUGUUUGCUCUAAGUGCACAAAAAACGGCAACGCACAGACUCAGCAUUCACAUGUGUGCACUGCAACAAUACAAAUGCUGUUGGUGCCCUCCGAAAAUUGAUUAUUGGUUUCUAGAUAUCGAGUGGAGUUGGGCAUAGCUGAUGAUACUGCUGAGGGCGUUUUCGUUUGUUUUGAUGGGGUGAUGACGAAACUUCACAACGUCAAAGCAAAUGAAGCUGAUCAUAUGUUGGUAAGUUACAUUAUAUCUCUCAGAGUCGUCCUCCCCGUGUAAGUUCUACCCAAGCGAUCUUGAUUUAACAACUAGGCUGACAGCUCCACGGCAAGUCAUCAGACUUACACCAUCAUACGGAUCCUUAACUGACGUGAUCGUGCACCACUCCCUGAUUUCGUUGAUAGUGGAAACAACGUGGACAAGGAGAACGACAUAUAGAACCCAUUACUCUACAAUUCAUCCUUACUUUAGUGGUUUCAAGCCAUGCAUAUUAAUUAAGAUUUUUGAGUGACCGUUUUAAGAUAUGUUUUUUGGUCAAUGUGUUUAGAGAAGCUAAAUUAGUUUUGUUAGAUUUAAGAAAAGAAUAUAAAGAUAUAUAAUUGAAUUUGCAUU
Brassica napus (rape) is the source of this 1553-nucleotide long non-coding RNA. RefSeq lists it as uncharacterized. The transcript is spliced from 8 exons. The record is from RefSeq and is a predicted model, not a curated record. Lineage: Eukaryota; Viridiplantae; Streptophyta; Magnoliopsida; Brassicales; Brassicaceae.